This is a long non-coding RNA of Rana temporaria (common frog), 172 nucleotides long. RefSeq lists it as uncharacterized. The transcript is spliced from 2 exons. NCBI's taxonomy places the organism in Eukaryota, Metazoa, Chordata, Amphibia, Anura, Ranidae. The record is from RefSeq and is a predicted model, not a curated record.
GGAUGGUCUGAGGAGACGUGUAAUGCACACAGUGCUCUUGAUUGUCUGAGGAGACGUGUAAUGCACAGUGAUCUGGACAGCAUGUGUGGACAGGAAACCAAGUGGCAGGAGAGCAGGAUGGGCAGAGUUUAUGACCUAAAGUGAUAUUAAAGGAUAAUUUUUAUAAAUAAAA